This 173-nucleotide ribosomal RNA is filed under the name uncultured bacterium. RNAcentral describes it as "partial 16S ribosomal RNA". It matches the Rfam family "Bacterial small subunit ribosomal RNA", at positions 1328 to 1500 of the family's 1533-position model. The record is from RNAcentral.
GGAAUUGCUAGUAAUCGUGGAUCAGCAUGCCACGGUGAAUACGUUCCCGGGUCUUGUACACACCGCCCGUCACACCAUGGGAGCUGGUAACACCCGAAGUCAGUAGUCUAACCGCAAGGAGGACGCUGCCGAAGGUGGGAUUAGCGACUGGGGUGAAGUCGUAACAAGGUAAC